Chrysoperla carnea is the source of this 459-nucleotide long non-coding RNA. RefSeq lists it as uncharacterized. NCBI's taxonomy places the organism in Eukaryota, Metazoa, Arthropoda, Insecta, Neuroptera, Chrysopidae. The transcript is spliced from 3 exons. The record is from RefSeq and is a predicted model, not a curated record.
AUUUUUACACUUAAGUUACUUUAUUUGAUUAAAAUAUAAAUAUUCUUUGGUUUAGAAUUAACAAAUAUGGCUUUAAAUAAACCAUUAAAUGAAUUUAAAAAAAAAAUAUAAACUAAAAAUAUCACAGUCAACUACAUCAGUCUACAUAACCUCUUUGUGCAACGUUUUUGUUAAUUAAGUAAAUCUCCAACAACGAUAUUAUACGGAUGGGGUGGAGAAAAUAUGAUAAAUAAAACAAUACCUUAAUUAUCCAGGCAAAACCACCGCAGGAUAACCGAUACACGACCAAAAGCAAACAACACCAGCCGUUGAUGAAAUGUCCAGAGUACAUUAUUGACUGCAAGAUUUCCAGUUUCUCCACGAUAGUAUAAUUAUCGAUGAAAUAUUAAAACGUGCUCGCGUUGCGGGCACGAACGUGUAAAUUAUUAUUUUUUUAAUAAAUUUUAUAUUUGAUGUGUA